AAUCUAUAACAAGCUCGGAGCAUACAAUAUGCACGCUCCAUCGUUCUUGUAGAAAUAAUCACUAUAAUUAUGCAUUAGAUUUGGAAAUUACACACUUAAGAUUAUGAAAUCAAUUCGUAAAUAGGAAUAUUUGUUGUAUGCAUUGUUGUGAAAACCAAAAUGGACUGGCUAGUUCAAUCGAGAACCGGAUAGUGAUUGGUCCUGUUUUGACAGAAAACUUUUUUCUAUGAAACGAGGUUGAGCCCACUCGAUUGACCAAGCCAGGUAACCCG
RNAcentral lists this unclassified non-coding RNA (272 nucleotides) under Hevea brasiliensis (rubber tree). Lineage: Eukaryota; Viridiplantae; Streptophyta; Magnoliopsida; Malpighiales; Euphorbiaceae. The record is from RNAcentral.